Molecule: unclassified non-coding RNA, 248 nt
Filed under: uncultured fungus
Lineage: Eukaryota; Fungi
Description: partial contains 5.8S ribosomal RNA, internal transcribed spacer 2, and large subunit ribosomal RNA
Source: RNAcentral
AACGCACAUUGCGCCCAUUAGUAUUCUAGUGGGCAUGCCUGUUCGAGCGUCAUUUCAACCCCUAAGCACAGCUUAUUGUUGGGAAUCUACGCCCUAGUAGUUCCUCAAAGACAUUGGCGGAGCGGCAGCAGUCCUCUGAGCGUAGUAAUUCUUUAUCUCGCUUCUGUUAGGCGCUGCCCCCCCGGCCGUAAAACCCCUUAACUCCAAUGGUUGACCUCGGAUCAGGUAGGAAUACCCGCUGAACUUAA